UCACAUUAAAUAUAACCCACACUCCCUGCCGCCGCUGAAUAGCAAUUUCUUUAUCAUUAGAGCUGCCAGGAGUCUUUAAGCGGCCGGAUUUGGCAGGAAAACGUGCGUGUCUCCAUGAGUUUUUAAUCUUUUAAACUCCCAUUUCCUAUUCUCCUAGAUUCGAAAUUUUAGCAAAGUAUAGGUCAUGCAGUAAAUUCGAACAGUUCCUGAUAAAAUCAUUAAUAGAGAUUUGUUCAGGCCGCCUUGACUGAAGAUGUUUUUUGAUCUCCCCCAACCCACCAUAAACAUAAUGUUGGCGAUUCCAAACUACAAGUCGACAAUUGCAAUAAGGAAAUUUAGCAGGUCUCCUCAAAAAUCUAUCUGUCCGGGGGGUUGGAAAACGCUGUGCAGAUCAGCCGUCUUAUUUUCCCCCCAGUCAUGUUGCAACUUAGCGCACAGCGGAAAGCGUGGAAGAAAUUCCCUUUUCCGUUCGGCUCGAUUUUUAUCCAAACUUUCCUCUAUUGUUCAUCGUUUGGCGGAAUUAUCAAAAAUAAAUCCGGGCCUUUUGUGUUGAAAUUAUAUGUUGAAUAGUUCUCCAGCCUUCCUUGGGCACCACGUGUCAUGUCUGGGUUUGAUCCAUUGUUUUAAAUGGGACCACCUGGAGGAUGGGUUCAGGGAAAUCAGACCGACAACUACAUCUGAUUUCAAACUCGAAUACCAUAAAGCAUGACUUCACCGUCAAUAAUGUUUUCCAGAGCAGUGUGAGAAGCGAGGGACGCUUCCGUUAAAACACAAAAAGAUUGCCACCUGGACUGGUUAACAGUGGAAAAUGUCAAUGAUAGUAACUGCUCGUAGCAGUGCGGCUUAGCUACACAACAAAACAGCUCUCCAUUCCUUUCCUCGCUGUCAGUCCUCCACCCCACCUAGUUGGUUGGUUAAAAUCUUUCCAAAUUAAUGCAUUCGAUGUUUAUUCAGUAUUUUAUGCAUGUCUGUCUAUUCUGUGAAAUCAUAUAUAAAUUAUACAGUCAGAUGCAUCACACAUGGUCACUCCAGUGAGGGCGAGCAUCAUCAAGAUUCACUCAGUUUAUUACCUCUAAACGUGACCAGCUUCAUUUAGAAAAGGUGUAAGUGACCAGAGGCAAUACUGAAUUUUUAAAGCCCAGUUUGGACAGACACUAUGACAGAGAAUAAGUUCACAAAAUGUAAACCGCCUGUGUGGUCAGAGUUCAUAUCUAUUUCCUUGCAAUGUGGCUGCAGAGCAGAAUGGAGCCGUGGACAUCACAAAGGUGAACUUAUCAUUCUCCGCUCGUUCUGCCAAGCGUGGCCCAGGGCUUAACAACUUCAAUUUGUUUCAUUUAAAAGUGAUGCAGCGGUCAAUGCUAUUGAUCAUGCGCUUACGAUGUUAACAUUCAACACAGCCCUUAAACCCAGAGGGACUCGAGGGGUUAUGUUACUUAGAAAAAAAUUAAAUAAGUUUUGUAGCAUCUUACGUUUGGUAAUCCGUCCAUUGAUCAGCCCAACCUGAACUCUGUCAAACUGCACUUACCCGGCACAAACCCACACUCACCAAUUCUAAAUAUUGGGACUAUUUCAAACUUAGCGUGAAAUAUUCCAAUAGAUCACCAACCCCCGCCAAUUGCCGGACAGCGAGGACCGCCUUUUGUGUUAAAUGUACAACCAACGUUAAGACUGAGGAUAUUUAGUAAUGCUAGCUAUCAGUCCUAUGCAGUAUUUACAGAGCCCAGGAAGACUGCUGUCCGGGUUCAUCAAAUGAACUAUUUUUUUUGUAAGAGCCCGUGUUUCCUCCCCUUCUCUCUCCCUCUCUCCCCCCACUCCCUCUCUCGCUCAGCAUGUCUGUGUAUUAGGACAGGAAGUCGGUUACACUUCGGCGCUUUAUCUUUCCUGGCAUUAGCCAUUGUGCGUCAGGAAUCGGCGGCGCAAUCCUCUGGUGAAAUGAAUUUCUGGAUGAAAUCAGACCGAAACGCUGAUUAUUUUUCAGCUAACAGGCUCGGAUUUAAACGAGCAAUGCUCAUCAUUUUCGAAUGAUGCCCUUUCGGAACGCUGUCAUUUACGUUUUAAACUCUUCCAGAAGUAACGAGGAACAGAAACUCCUCAGUCACAUUUCACACUCGGCCGGACGUAUUAAAGAAUGAACUAUUUCGUGAAUUCCGUUUCCAAGGAUCACUAGCGACGUUAUCAGCUUUGUAGCUCGGAGAUUCCACCAGGACCAAUUGGAACAGGAUCAGCGCUCAAUGUUUCCACAGAUUUAGUACUCUAGCGUCAACUUUCCGAAUCACAGUGACCUCAAGUGAGGCGCAGGACUCGUUUUUAUUAGAAGCACAGAAGUAUUAUUGAGUUCUCCCGGCACUCAAGAAUAAGCCGCUGAAGAGGGAAUCUGAGAGGCAGUUGGCUGGAAGGAUGGGAACAAGCCGCAGGGAAGCGGGCCUUAUGCUAACAUCGACGCAGCUGAUGGACCGAAUGACUGCUUAAUGAUCCUCAACUCCCGUGAUUUUAUUCUAGGUUGGGCAAUACCAGUACUGAUGGAAAACAUUGACUUUUACAUCAGGAAGAGUUUGUAAUAGAAGUCUCUGAAAAUGUAUGUGUUAUGUUUCACACUUUUUGACCAACCUUUUUAAAACCGUGAAGGUUGAAGCACAGAUGCACACAGGCAGAUACAGACACACACAGGCACAGACACACAGUCCCACCCUCCACACACACACACACACACACACACGUCCACGGACACAGAGACACAGACACAGACAUUCAGAGGUAGUCACACAUACAGGCAUGUACACAGGCAAGACAUGCACACGUGUACACCCAUCCAAAGACAUAAACACUUACACAGGCAGAUACAGCCAGCCAACCACAGAGCAUAUCCACACCCACAGGUACAGACACAUAAACCCACACAAACACAGAAACACUGAGUCAAAGUGACACAUAGUGACACCUACACACAUACGCAGUUGCACAGACACGUAACAAAACGAGCCUAGUUUUAUUCAAAGUAUUGAUUUCUUUUAAAAAUUCGGCCACUCUGCAAUGAAUGGUCCCCGAGCAUUCCUGGACUACUUAGGUAAUGAUGUGGAUUUAGUGGCUAUGCGGUUGCCUAUUGACCCACGAUCACAAUACAAUGACCCAGCUGACCUCUGGCUGACCCCUGACCCUCAGCGAACUCAAUCCACCAUUAAAGGGGCAGGGACGUGCCCACAAAGGCCUGGCUUUUGUUCUUCGUAAACAGGAGGGGGG
Molecule: long non-coding RNA, 3237 nt
Organism: Chiloscyllium plagiosum (whitespotted bambooshark)
Lineage: Eukaryota; Metazoa; Chordata; Chondrichthyes; Orectolobiformes; Hemiscylliidae
Source: RefSeq, a predicted model, not a curated record